RNAcentral lists this unclassified non-coding RNA (210 nucleotides) under uncultured Meliniomyces. RNAcentral describes it as "sequence contains ITS1". The record is from RNAcentral. Lineage: Eukaryota; Fungi; Ascomycota; Leotiomycetes; Helotiales; Helotiaceae.
GCAAUUUAACGCCCUCUGGGCGUUUAGAUCACACGUGUCUCUGACGCGUGGUGUGGUGAGGCAACUCCUGCUUUAGAUCGCAGCUACACCCGUGUAUACUACCUUUGUUGCUUUGGCGGGCCGCCUUCGGGCUAGGCUUCGGCUGAUCGUGCCCGCCAGAGGACCCAAACUCUUUUGUUAUAGUGAUGUCUGAGUACUAUAUAAUAGUUA